UACGUAGGGUGCAAGCGUUGCCCGGAAUUAUUGGGCGUAAAGAGCUCGUAGGCGGUUUGUCGCGUCUGCUGUGAAAACUCGGGGCUCAACUCCGAGCUUGCAGUGGGUACGGGCAGACUAGAGUGCGGUAGGGGAGACUGGAAUUCCUGGUGUAGCGGUGAAAUGCGCAGAUAUCAGGAGGAACACCGAUGGCGAAGGCAGGUCUCUGGGCAUUAACUGACGCUGAGGAGCGAAAGCAUGGGGAGCGAACAGG
RNAcentral lists this ribosomal RNA (253 nucleotides) under uncultured bacterium. RNAcentral describes it as "partial 16S ribosomal RNA". It matches the Rfam family "Bacterial small subunit ribosomal RNA", at positions 524 to 776 of the family's 1533-position model. The record is from RNAcentral.